RNAcentral lists this ribosomal RNA (374 nucleotides) under Amietia ruwenzorica (Ruwenzori Range frog). RNAcentral describes it as "partial 12S ribosomal RNA". Lineage: Eukaryota; Metazoa; Chordata; Amphibia; Anura; Pyxicephalidae. The record is from RNAcentral.
CCCGUGAGACGCCCUUUUUCCUCACCAGAUGAAGGAGCCGGCAUCAGGCACAGACCCCUAGCCCAUGACACCUAGUUAUACCACACCCUCAAGGGCAUUCAGCAGUGACAAAUAUUACUCAUAAGCGUCAGCUUGACUUAGUUAAAGAAAAUUAGAGCCGGCCAAUCCGGUGCCAGCCGCCGCGGCUACACCAGCAGGCUCAAGUCGAUAGCCAUCGGCGUUAAGCGUGAUUAAAGAGACCCUAAAUUAGAGUUGUAUAUAAAUUUAGUAGUGAUAAGCUUAUUAUUUAGAAAAACAAAAACGAAAGUUACUCUAAUCUUGCUUGAAUACACGACAGCCAGGGUACAAACUGGGCAUUAGAUACCCCACUAUAA